This 422-nucleotide long non-coding RNA is filed under the name Ananas comosus (pineapple). RNAcentral's name for it is "long non-coding RNA (ACOM_LNC040818)". The record is from RNAcentral. Lineage: Eukaryota; Viridiplantae; Streptophyta; Magnoliopsida; Poales; Bromeliaceae.
AGAGAGAGAGUAGGACUGUUAUACAUUUAUAAGUAUAGAAUUCUUUGUAUUCAGAAGUUAUUUUAAAUGAUGAGGUUGUCAAAUCAACGAUCCGCACCAUUAAAUAUGAUCUAAAUAUUUAAAAUUUUUAAAAAAUAAAUUCUAUAAAUUUUAGAAAUUAUAAUAAAUACCAUCAAGUAACAUAAAAUGAAUGGUCAAAAUUGAAUUAUAUCCUAAAAAUAGAUGGUUUAAUCCUUCAAUUUAAGAUCGGUGUUAUUGAUCUUUAUCUAGAUAUAUAGUGAUUAUAAUUUUUUAUCAAAAAUUCAAUCAAUUUUGAUUCUUAUACAUAUCGUUAAAAAUAAUCAAUUAUGAAAUCGUUUGAUCGUAAAGUAAAUGAUUCCGAAAAAUUAUUAAACUUGAAUUUUAAAAGUUUCAAAUACUUU